CAGUCGCCACGGUAAUACGUAGGGUGCAAGCGUUAAUCGGAAUUACUGGGCGUAAAGCGUGCGCAGGCGGUCCGCUAAGACAGAUGUGAAAUCCCCGGGCUUAACCUGGGAACUGCAUUUGUGACUGGCGGGCUAGAGUAUGGCAGAGGGGGGUAGGAUUCCACGUGUAGCAGUGAAAUGCGUAGAGAUGUGGAGGAAUACCGAUGGCGAAGGCAGCCCCCUGGGCCAAUACUGACGCUCAUGCACGAAAGCGUGGGGAGCAAACAGGAUUAGAUACCCGAGUAGUCCCUGUCUCUUAUAC
RNAcentral lists this ribosomal RNA (301 nucleotides) under uncultured bacterium. RNAcentral's name for it is "partial 16S ribosomal RNA". It matches the Rfam family "Bacterial small subunit ribosomal RNA", at positions 509 to 807 of the family's 1533-position model. The record is from RNAcentral.